AGAGCCGAGGCCGGGCUAGGAGCUCCAAGGCUGGGGGGUUAAGAGCAUGACGGGCCAGGGGGAGGUUUGGGGGGUAAGAAAAUGUGAAGGCAGGAAGGGCGGGGUGGAAAGGUGAGAGAAAGGUGAGGAAGAUGGAGGCUGAGGAGAGGCCGCGAGGGAGAUGCUGGAAGAGGAAUGCUGUGCUGAAGGAAGGAUGAGAGAGGAGCAGGAAGAUAAAGUGAUAGUGGAGAAAAAGUGUGAGUCAGCAGAGGCUUACAGGGGAAGAAACAGACAUAUAUAUAUAUAUAUAUAUAUAUUACUUUUCAUGCAUAGAGUCAGAUAAGUGUAGGUGAGCUUUAAAACUGAAAAAGAAGCCUGCUAAGAUACUGCAUGUAGACUACGCUAGAGAGAAAAGAGAAAAGCACAUGCAAAAAGACCACAAGAGAGGAAGAGAAACAGACAGAAAUUCAGUAUUACAGCGUUCUGAGUGGGGAGUCUGCUCUCCUUUUCCUGCCAUGGAUGUAAUGCUGGUUUGGACAGCAGCUGACGUCCAAUCAGACAACAGGACCGUGGCCCCUGUCAUAAUGACAACCAUGACAUCAUGGCAAGGGCUAGCGGAGAGAAGACAGCGGAGCUCCAGACAGACAGCGGGGCUGCGCGGGGGCUGCACGCCGACCACAGCGCACCGGCUGCCGGAUCGAAACCCAGCGCGGACUACCGGGGAGGAAAAGGGAGGAAAAAAAAAAAAAAAAAAAAAAAAAAAAAAAAAAAAAAAGGGGGUGACCGUGCCGAGGGUUAUGCCGGAUGGGUGCCACCGGACUGGAAGCUCCGGCCCCCGGACACACUGAGGCUCCUUCACCGGUGUUGGGGGGAGAAGCGACAGACAGAUACGGAGGAGGUUGAGCGAAAUGGCAUCUUGUUUAAUUUCUGCCAAUCAAGACGAGAGGAAGACAACUCCCAAACUGGCAUGAUGUAACAGGAGGGUGAAGAGGCGAUCAAGAGACCUGGAAACAUGCAUGAACCGGAUGGCAAAUGGGAACUGGAGUCGUGUCUGCUGUAAUCUCCACUGUUCAAUUAGCUGCACUGACCGGGACGCCACCUACACUUCAUUAGCUGCAAGACGAAGGUGAAGCUGAUGGUGUAACAUCAACCAAGCUCAUGGGAUGCAGAAGAUGCUGACACUUUGCGUGCGCACACACACACACACACGCAUGCACACGCACACAUGCACACAGACACACAACGGUAAAUGGGAGUCUGCUGUCAGGAGUGUGAGCCAUUUCCAGGUGAAGAAAACUGAAUUAAACUGAAUCAAGCUGAACCGAUCUGAACUGGAAUGACCUGCAGUGAAGUGAAAGGAAGGCUCCAGCUGGACAGCUCUCUGAGGUUUGGGGGGGAAAAUUCAGACAGAGAAAUACCUUGAAAUGAUGCAGAUGAAAAUGUGUUGUUUUUGAACGUUGCCUUCCAGAUUUCCUGUGCUGUAUUUUCAGUAUUUGGGUCUGUUCACUUUUACAUUACAUUCUGUCACUUCAACUGUACCUAAAGUCUCACCCUUGAAUUCUGACACUGUAAAUAAUAACCUUUCUCUUGUCUCUGUGUGAUCUGUAUUCUCUUAUUUUCUUAUAUCUUUUAAAGUUUUUUUUUUAAAUCUAUACUUUCUUUGGGGUUCAUUGUGGAAUAAAACAGGUCUAAAAAUGAAACUCUAAUAUUAUAUUUUGAGCAAUUUGGUGUUAUUUGCUCAAAGAACUGUCUUUUUGAGAAUCUUUCACCCACGACCACACAAUCUGUCAAACAUUACACAUCUACAUCUUCUAAUAAUGGUCUUCCCUUCGUCUACACUUGCCAAAUUUGUUUUCGAAAACAAUAAUUGGAAAAAAAAAAAAUUAAAAGCAUCAUCAUCAAGCUAGCAAGUGUAUUAUCGGUCAUGAGGAGAUGACAUUUUGGAUUCAUUGUUAUGUUAGUCUUUUACCAUAUUUGAAGAAUUUACAUUAAAUGUGAACAAACAUUUAAACAUAAAUUACUUUUAAAGAAACUCCAGACAUUAUGUAGUGGCUGUUGUAGUUUUUCUUGAGUCUUUAUGGAAGUUGUUUCUGAUAUUUUCAUUCAUGUUUAAAACAGAAUACUUCUCUGCUACUGUACUAACCAGUAAAUAUCAGGCACAUGCAUGAAGUCAAAGCCUCCUGAAGUAUUUGUCCCUCUCUAUUUGUAAAACUUUAAGAAUACUUAAGGCCAGUGCUGUGAAAUCUGCACACACAAACACAGAACAGUAGCCUCUGGCUAUCUGCAGCAGUGAGUGUAAAUGAUCGCAUAGCUGUGGUCAUAACUCACAGUGGUACAGGCUGCUGAUGGAAGCUGACACCCACUGUCUCUGUGUGUUUCUGUGUGUAUAUAUAUGUGUGUGUGUGUGUGUGUGUGAGAGAGAGAGAGUCAUUUUAGACUCCUAAUGUCGCUUCCUUUCCCUUCUGCCCCUUCUUGCCUUCCUCCUCCUCAUCCUCGAUGCCUCGGGUGAUGAAACUGACUCUGUUACAUCAGACCAAACAGCCCCCGCCCAGCUUUUGCCUCCUCCCGUCUACACACAGACACAUUUGUUUGUCCACGCUCUAGAGCCACAUCAGUGUGUUUGACCUUAUUGAUUAGGUGUUGUCUGUUGAUGCAAAUCAGGAUAAUCCAUCACUGAUGUCUCUGUUUGUGGGGCGGAGGUGAGUUGAUAGUGAUGGAUGACAGAUUAAUCAGUAAUCAUGAUAAACUGAAGAGCACUCACUCACACGCUUAGACACAAUGGUGUUGGUGUCGGCAGCCGACUAAUGAAACAUAAACUCGUUUCUCCUUUCUAUUACAGGAUGUAAUACAACAAAAUGACACUCAUUGUUUGCUUUUGAUUGAUUGUAAUUAUUUACUUAUUAUUUAUUGGAUCCUAUUAACUUUCACUGUGUAAAGAAACACCCCAAAGUAUACAGUGUCUGGAGCAAUAUCUCAACAUUAACAGUUAUAUACGAGAACAAAAAAAAUACAUUAUUAACUCAGCAUAAAUAUUACAAUUGCUUGUCAUAGGCAUUCAUUCACAAUUUAUUAAUUUCGUGUAAUUUCUAUGGUAAGUUCUUGCAAAAAUAAAUAUAAUAAUAUUAAUAUUAAAACAAGUAA
Molecule: long non-coding RNA, 3120 nt
Organism: Stegastes partitus (bicolor damselfish)
Lineage: Eukaryota; Metazoa; Chordata; Actinopteri; Pomacentridae
Exons: 5
Source: RefSeq, a predicted model, not a curated record